Molecule: ribosomal RNA, 360 nt
Filed under: Triticum aestivum (bread wheat)
Lineage: Eukaryota; Viridiplantae; Streptophyta; Magnoliopsida; Poales; Poaceae
Description: partial small subunit ribosomal RNA
Source: RNAcentral
AUGCUACCCCAACAACAACAACUCCUCCAACGUCGCGAAGACCGACGAGGCACGACGGCGAGGGCGAGCGUGGGCAUCGCAAAGGCUAGCUACACGCGGCGCGUGUACCGACGAGGACACGGGCUCUGCCACCGCCCACACACACACACAUCACCAUCAUUCAUGCAUGGAGAACACGAAGCAAAGAUGACGAAGACGACCACACAGCUCAAUCGAAGGUAUCUCGCGGAGCAACCCGCGGGAGUAAUUAACCGGGAGUCUUCCGAGGCCUCGGAAACCAGGAGAUCAUACAAUCGCUAUAGUCAGCCCGGCCGCGCUAGUAGGCCAUGGAGUGCACAUUUUUAUUAUGGGAUCUUGUAA